Non-coding RNA from Trichonephila clavipes, 73 nucleotides. The record is from the annotation of a GenBank genome assembly. Lineage: Eukaryota; Metazoa; Arthropoda; Arachnida; Araneae; Nephilidae.
GUCCGUGUAGCGCAGUGGAUAGCGCGUUGGACUUCUACGCAAAAGGUCGUGGUUUCGAAUACCACUACAGAUU